GACGUAGGGGGCGAGCGUUGUCCGGAAUUACUGGGCGUAAAGAGCACGUAGGCGGGAACCUAAGUCGGGUGUGAAAGACCGUGGCUCAACCACGGGGUGGCAUUUGAAACUGGGUUUCUUGAGGGCAGGAGAGGAAAGCAGAAUCCUGGUGUAGCGGUGAAAUGCGUAGAAAUCAGGAGGAAUACCAGUGGCGAAGGCGGCUUUCUGGACUGACCCUGACGCUGAGGUGCGAAAGCGUGGGUAGCAAACAGGAUUAGAUACCCGGGGUAGUCCCUGAGCGGGCU
This 284-nucleotide ribosomal RNA is filed under the name uncultured prokaryote. RNAcentral's name for it is "partial 16S ribosomal RNA". It matches the Rfam family "Bacterial small subunit ribosomal RNA", at positions 524 to 817 of the family's 1533-position model. The record is from RNAcentral.